CCUCUCCCAACCGUGCGACCACUCCUCCAUCUCCCCAUCUUCUUCUUCUCCUUCUUUGAAACCCAGCAGCUGCAGAAGAUUAGCCGGAGCAGCCGCGCGCCUCUGCUCGUUGCACGCCCUCGCCGGACCGCCGUUAGCCGGCCCUCCCCUUCUUCUUGUUGCUUCCGUUGACCCUCCCUCCUCCAUUUCUUCUUGUUUCUCGAGGAACCCAGCACGCCGAGCAGACCAGCGAAGCUGGAGAAGCCGCACGUCGCCUGGAGCCGCCGCACGCCGUCGCCGUUCGUCGCUCCUCGCGCGCGCGCAGCCCUUGCUCCUCGCCUGCCCGUGCUUGGCCGAAGCCCAGCCGCCCUCGUUUGUCUCGGUCCGCACAUUCCAGGAGCUGCCGGAGCUUGUCCCCGCCGCCGUGAGCCACCGUACGCCUCCGCCUCAGCCCGCCGGAGCCCCACCUAGCCCUCUCGGCCCUUGCAUGCUCCAACCGAGCUCGGAUCUGCCCUCUCUCCGGCCUCAGCCAGCAGCGAACGGAGAGGAGAAAAAUGGGUAUGGCAGUGGCUUCGUGGCCCGUUUUGGCCGGCUUCCCGACCCCGGAAGCUAGGCCCGCCUUGAGACUAUCGAUCCUCGCGUCGUCCCCGUCGAUUUGAGCCGCUCGGAUCGCUAAUCGGGUUCUCGAAUGAGCAGCACCGAGUUUUUACCGUGCCGCGAGCCAUGACAUUGCUGCCGUUGUUGAGCUGAGAUCAGUUUGGUGCCUUCCCGCAGCAAAAUCGUUCUUUAUUUUGCAGGUUCGCUGUGAGACUAUCUCGGUGAACAUCUGAGCAUCCUCCUUACCGUCAGCCCAUGCUUAUGCGUGGUCACCACCUCCAUCGAGAAGUCCCCACAGUGAGUUGUUCCUCCAUAGUCGAGAAUUACUAGACUAGAAGGCUUCGCCGAGUAGCCCGUAACGAGAGUCCCAUCGUCGGCCCGCAUGUGACACCAUCACCGUGGAUUCCUCAUCGACAAAGCUGCUGCCGCGCUGAGACCAACUUCAGGCGUAAACAGAGGGGAUCAUCAAGCUAUCAAGGGAGUUAUCAAUUCUCAAUAAAAAUUCCACUUUUCUUUCUCUAUAGUCACGUACAAGGGACACAUAUCAUGCCCAUGUGAACCCCUGAAAAUAAGAGAAGAAGAGUUUUCUGGUUU
This is a long non-coding RNA of Eucalyptus grandis, 1170 nucleotides long. RefSeq lists it as uncharacterized. The record is from RefSeq and is a predicted model, not a curated record. The transcript is spliced from 2 exons. NCBI's taxonomy places the organism in Eukaryota, Viridiplantae, Streptophyta, Magnoliopsida, Myrtales, Myrtaceae.